Molecule: ribosomal RNA, 505 nt
Filed under: uncultured bacterium
Lineage: Bacteria
Description: partial 16S ribosomal RNA
Rfam family: Bacterial small subunit ribosomal RNA
Source: RNAcentral
GACGAACGCUGGCGGCGUGCCUAAUACAUGCAAGUAGAACGCACAGUUUAUACCGUAGCUUGCUACACCAUAGACUGUGAGUUGCGAACGGGUGAGUAACGCGUAGGUAACCUGCCUGGUAGCGGGGGAUAACUAUUGGAAACGAUAGCUAAUACCGCAUAAUAUUAAUUAUUGCAUGAUAAUUAAUUGAAAGGUGCAAUUGCACCACUACCAGAUGGACCUGCGUUGUAUUAGCUAGUAGGUGAGGUAACGGCUCACCUAGGCGACGAUACAUAGCCGACCUGAGAGGGUGAUCGGCCGCACUGGGACUGAGACACGGCCCAGACUCCUACGGGAGGCAGCAGGAGGGAAUCUUCGGCAAUGGACGAAAGUCUGACCGAGCAACGCCGCGUGAGGGAAGAAGGUUUUCGGAUCGUAAAGCUCGGUUGUAAGAGAAGAACGGGUGUGAGAGUGGAAAGUUCACACUGUGACGGUAUCUUACCAGAAAGGGACGGCUAACUACGUG